UCGGAGGAAAGGGGAGAGCCGAGAGGAGAAGAGGGGAAGGAGGCGCACCGGCGUUGCUGGGCCUCACCGCCGCCAUCGCGUCCUCACAGAGCCUUGGAGGAAGCACGCGCCACCACAUGCAGUCAUUACCGCUGCACCGUGUCGUUGCUCCGCCGCCGUUCACGCUUCUGUCGCUGUCAGAACCGCAUGCCGCCGCUGGAAGCAUCUUCAUCAUCACCGUUAAUGGAGGUCGGUGAACGGUGGGAAGACGCGCGAGGAAGGAGAAGCCUUCGCCGUCGCACCUUGUGCUGCUAGUUUUGUCGCACCUCAUCGUCAUCAUCGCUGCCGGACCUCCGUGUCGCACCGGCGCCGCGAGUUGCUAUCGAGCCACUACAAGCAAAACCCACUGCGCGAAACUGCGCCGCCACGUGCUGUUGCCGUUGCCGAGCUCCCAUGGAUGCCGCCGGCAAGAUUCGAAGAGAGAGAAGCUCAAGGAGAGAGAUAGAUUGACGGAGGGGAUUACUAUUCAUGCGGCCGUGCCUCCACUGCCUUUCACCGCCACAGAUCCGCCAUCAUCCGCCGCGCCGCACCAUGCCACGUCGCUGCCGGAAACUGUCACUGAAGUCCCUUUUCCCUUGGGCUGAGUUGUAGUUCUUGCAUGCUAAGUUCAGUAGCCGUGCAUGUGACAUCAAGCUGUCGUGUCGUCAACGGAGUCGCCGCUGUUUCGUUUUCUCGGAUACUCGUAGGUUCAGUAAGCCUUUUCCUGUUCCGAUUUCUUUUAGUCACUAUUCUGUGAUAUGUUCCUAAGGUCUUUGCAACGUUAAUGCUUUAGGUUUGAGUUCGGUUCUUACGUGUCGUGAUUAAAGUUGCUGUGGUUGAGGUUGUGUAGUUGCGGGCUGUGAGAAAAAGAAUUUCUGUCGCGUGGUUAAGUCAAAAUUGAGGUAGGGGCGUUUUCCUCAAAUUCAUUUUAUUUGUGAGAAUUGUUAUAAAUCGAUAUUGAUGCAAAAAUAUAUGUUUGGUGAUUAUGUGGGUUUUAUGGAUUGAAUUGAUUUGCUUUGGACAAGUGAAA
This is a non-coding RNA of Arachis ipaensis, 1048 nucleotides long. The record is from RefSeq and is a predicted model, not a curated record. Lineage: Eukaryota; Viridiplantae; Streptophyta; Magnoliopsida; Fabales; Fabaceae.